CCUGGGCCACAGCUAACAUUUGUCCUUGUUUCUGUGGCUUGUUGUUUCAGGGACACUGCAGCAGCCCCAGUCAUGCACCAGCACAUGGCAAGAUGAGGUUGGCAGCGAGGUCAGCCAUGCUGUCAAGGCUGCUCAGCCUCUGUGCAGAUGGCCAGGAGCAACAGGAUGGAAAGCAUCACGCACUCAAACUUCACACUCUUUUUACACUACACUACAAGAUGGGAACUGAGGUCACAGAAAUUGCAGGUUGUCUCACCUCAGUGCAAGGGAAUGAAAAAGCAAUAAUCACACAAUGGACAAAAUCAAAAGGUGGCUACACUGCAUACCUGUGGCCUCGAUCCUCCAUGGGAACCAGAGCUUGGCCUGCUUUGGAUGGACAGUCUCCUCAUUGAGUGCUUGUCCAGCUUACGUGAACCCUCUCUACUUAAAGGAAGAUAAAUAUUUCCAAGAGGAAAAAUAAAUGGCCCAACACGUAUUCCAAAUGACAACAAAAAAAUCCACAAAAAGAAGAUUUUGUGUAUGCAUGUUUUGAUCACUGCAGAUUUUUCAUUUACUGCAGAUCGAACCAACAUCUCCAAAUGCAGCUGCGGGCUAUUUAUUGGCUGAAGACAGUUGUUUCAUAGCACAUUUUCAGUUUCAGAAAUUUGGAAUUUUCUGGUUGAAAGUACCAGGCUGAAUAACAAUGGGUUUUCUGCAAUCUCAGCAGGCAUUACGAGGAUUUGGGAUCUCCAGAUCACGUUGGUAGCUAUCCAGGCCUAUAAUCUACUCAUGCUGCUGCUAAAACUGAAAAACCAGAGCUUUCAGCAAACUGUGUUCCCUUUCUCUAAGAAACUGGGAAGGAACCUUCAGUGUGAAUGAAAAAAAAAAAGCCUCCAAAAAACCCCAAAGAUCACAAGAUCUACCUCUGAGAGUUUCUGAGCUGUUUUCUGUCCUUCUACAUACGGCUGUAUGAGUAAACCUGGCUUUGGAACUUAAAUGAAUCUUUAGACAUUUCUUUUCAAAGUUUGCACUUCUCCAAAUUCGGUUUUAAAUGAUUCAGUCUUAAAAUAACCAUGAAAACUAAGACUAUCAACAUUUAAGUGGUUCUCCUUGGAAUAGCCAGGAGCUCUCCUCUGCAGAGUUGCUAUAAAAAGCUGCUAGAAUUGUAAGAGCAACAUAAAGCCAAGGUUCCUGGAUGUUAAGUUUUGCAAUAUUUUCUCUAAUAAAAUAUUGAAGGAAAAGAUCUAAGUUGUUGAAAAGAGUUUCUAUCAGAUUUUAAUGGAAAUAGAUACUUGAGUUUAACAUCAUCAGUUCUUUACAGCACCUGUUCCUAUGUGAUAGGAAAACACAUGAUUGCUGCAUCUGGCUGGGUCAAAACCAGAUAUGUGGACAGACUGGGAGGACUCCCUGAGAGCAGCCCUAUGGAAGGAUGGGGGUCCUG
This is a long non-coding RNA of Tympanuchus pallidicinctus (lesser prairie-chicken), 1420 nucleotides long. RefSeq lists it as uncharacterized. The record is from RefSeq and is a predicted model, not a curated record. The transcript has 3 exons. NCBI's taxonomy places the organism in Eukaryota, Metazoa, Chordata, Aves, Galliformes, Phasianidae.